AUUGAACGCUGGCGGCAUGCCUUACACAUGCAAGUCGAACGGCAGCACGGGAGCAAUCCUGGUGGCGAGUGGCGAACGGGUGAGUAAUAUAUCGGAACGUGCCCGGUCGUGGGGGAUAACGUAGCGAAAGCUACGCUAAUACCGCAUACGAUCUACGGAUGAAAGCGGGGGAUCGCAAGACCUCGCGCGAUUGGAGCGGCCGAUAUCAGAUUAGGUAGUUGGUGAGGUAAAGGCUCACCAAGCCGACGAUCUGUAGCUGGUCUGAGAGGACGACCAGCCACACUGGGACUGAGACACGGCCCAGACUCCUACGGGAGGCAGCAGUGGGGAAUUUUGGACAAUGGACGCAAGUCUGAUCCAGCCAUUCCGCGUGCAGGAUGAAGGCCCUCGGGUUGUAAACUGCUUUUGUACGGAACGAAAAGGUUUGUCUUAAUACGAUGAGCUCAUGACGGUACCGUAAGAAUAAGCACCGGCUAACUACGUG
RNAcentral lists this ribosomal RNA (484 nucleotides) under uncultured bacterium. Its description in RNAcentral is "bacterial SSU rRNA". It matches the Rfam family "Bacterial small subunit ribosomal RNA", at positions 30 to 507 of the family's 1533-position model. The record is from RNAcentral.